GACAGAGGGUGCAAACGUUGUUCGGAAUUACUGGGCGUAAAGCGUGUGUAGGCUGCUACAUAAGUCGGAUGUGAAAGCCCCGGGCUCAACCCGGGAAGUGCACUCGAUACUGCGUAGCUUGAGUCUCGGAGAGGUUGGUGGAAUUCUCGGUGUAGAGGUGAAAUUCGUAGAUAUCGAGAGGAACACCGGUGGCGAAGGCGGCCAACUGGACGAAGACUGACGCUGAGACACGAAGGCGUGGGGAGCAAACAGG
This 253-nucleotide ribosomal RNA is filed under the name uncultured bacterium. Its description in RNAcentral is "partial 16S ribosomal RNA". It matches the Rfam family "Bacterial small subunit ribosomal RNA", at positions 524 to 776 of the family's 1533-position model. The record is from RNAcentral.